RNAcentral lists this ribosomal RNA (520 nucleotides) under uncultured Glomus. RNAcentral's name for it is "SSU rRNA". It matches the Rfam family "Eukaryotic small subunit ribosomal RNA", at positions 569 to 1087 of the family's 1831-position model. The record is from RNAcentral. Lineage: Eukaryota; Fungi; Glomeromycota; Glomeromycetes; Glomerales; Glomeraceae.
AGCAGCCGCGGUAAUUCCAGCUCCAAUAGCGUAUAUUAAAGUUGUUGCAGUUAAAAAGCUCGUAGUUGAAUUUCGGGAUCAGUAGGUCGGUCGUGCCACUGGUAUGAACUGGUCUCACUGGUUCCUCCCUCUUGACGAACUGCAAUGCUAUUAAUUUAGUGUUGUAGGAAAUCAGGACUGUUACUUUGAAAAAAUUAGGGUGUUUAAAGCAGGCUUUAGCUUGAAUACAUUAGCAUGGAAUAAUGAAAUAGGACGUUCGAUCCUAUUUUGUUUGGCUUCUAGGAUUGACGUAAUGAUUAAUAGGGACAGUUGGGGGCAUUAGUAUUCAAUUGUCAGAGGUGAAAUUCUUGGAUUUAUUGAAGACUAACUACUGCGAAAGCAUUUGCCAAGGAUGUUUUCAUUAAUCAAGAACGAAAGUUAGGGGAUCGAAGACGAUCAGAUACCGUCGUAGUCUUAACCAUAAACUAUGCCGACUAGGGAUCGGAUGAUGUUAAUUUUUUAAUGACUCAUUCGGCGUACC